This is a non-coding RNA of Acanthosepion pharaonis, 110 nucleotides long. NCBI's taxonomy places the organism in Eukaryota, Metazoa, Mollusca, Cephalopoda, Sepiida, Sepiidae. The record is from the annotation of a GenBank genome assembly.
GUGGCUACUUCAUGUUGAAAAAUCAGUACCCGUACGAUCACUUAAGUUAAGCAACGUAGAGUCAGAUCAGUACCUAGAUGGGUUACCGCGUAGGAAUAUCAGAUGCUGUA